RNAcentral lists this non-coding RNA (222 nucleotides) under Bacillota bacterium. RNAcentral describes it as "Firmicutes bacterium T-box sequence". It matches the Rfam family "T-box leader". From Rfam's summary of the family: Uncharged tRNA acts as the effector for transcription antitermination of genes in the T-box leader family. T-boxes are found upstream of many aminoacyl-tRNA synthetase genes and some amino acid biosynthetic genes usually in Gram-positive bacteria. Lineage: Bacteria; Bacillati; Bacillota. The record is from RNAcentral.
GCAAAAGCAAAGAAAAAGAGGAGUAUGCGGAUUCCGUCCCGGCAGAGAGAAAAAUCCAUGGGCUGAGAGAUUUUUCGGGAGCAGGCACGCAGAAGGUAGCUUUGGAGCUGUUCCGCUGAAAAAAAGAGUAGGCGGAAACGGGUGGUUCCGUUACAGACUGUGAGUGUCCGUCAAUUUUUUUUGACGGGAAAUAAGGUGGUACCGCGAGCUUUCGUCCUUUGG